This 451-nucleotide unclassified non-coding RNA is filed under the name Hevea brasiliensis (rubber tree). The record is from RNAcentral. Lineage: Eukaryota; Viridiplantae; Streptophyta; Magnoliopsida; Malpighiales; Euphorbiaceae.
UCUUUGCAGCUUGGGCAAUAGUGAUAUUUAUGCCAGAGACAGUCCAUCGAAGGGCAAAGAAAGCAUAUUCCAAGCAUAAAUGGCAUCAUACAACCGACAACAGCUGCCAGACUAGGUUUUGAUCUGACGACAGUAAGUCCAGAAUUACCACAGAAAGUGCAGUUAAACGGAGCAGGAGUGUCCCGAUACAUCGUCUGUUGAAUCGGAAUUCCCUUUGGAUCGCCGAAGACAGCGUUUGGUGGGAUGGCUCCGGCUUGGUACGGGUUCUGGCCGGCGUAGUAAGGAACCCCGAUGGCAGGCUCAUCUUUUUGGCCCAUUGCUUAUGCUUUUGUGAAGCUUUUCUUGGAUUGGAGACAGACGGAGGAGGCAAGAUUGAUUCUUCAAAUGAAUUAAUGAACAAUAGGAUGUUGAUUGACCGAUGGAGGUGGGAAGAACAAAGAAAAUAAAGCCG